This 743-nucleotide ribosomal RNA is filed under the name uncultured archaeon. RNAcentral describes it as "bacterial SSU rRNA". It matches the Rfam family "Archaeal small subunit ribosomal RNA", at positions 130 to 880 of the family's 1478-position model. The record is from RNAcentral.
CCUCGGGAAACUGAGGUUAAUGUCUGAUAGGAGAUUAUUUCUGGAAGGAUUUUUCUCUGAAAUUCGCGCUUAAGGAUAAGACUGCGGCCGAUUAGGUAGUUGGCGGGGUAAUAGCCCACCAAGCCAAUGAUCGGUAAGGGCUCUUAGCGGAGAGGCCCUGAGAAGGAAUCUGAGACACUAUUCCUAGCCCUACGGGGUGCAGCAGUUAGGGAUUUUUUGCAAUGCGCGCAAGCGUGACAAAGUGAGCCAGAGUGUUUCUCUUUGAGAAACUUUUGCCAGCUGUAAAUAGGCUGGCGAAUAAGGACUGGGCAAGAUCGGUGCCAGCCGCCGCGGUAAUCCCGACGGUCCAAGUCGCAGCCACAAUUAUUGGGUCUAAAACAUUCGUAGCUUGCUUUUUAAGUUUCUUGUGAAAUCCGGUAUCUUAAGUAUCGGUCGUGCAAGAAAUACUGAGAAGCUAGAGAUCGGAGGACGUGAAGAGUACAGUUGAGGUAGUGGUAAAAUACGUUAAUCUUAACUGGACUAACAACAGCGAAGGCACUUCACGACGACGAAUCUGACAGUGAGGGAUGAAAGCGAGGGGCGCAAAAUGGAUUAGAUACCCAUGUAGUCCUCGCAGUAAACACUGCACACUAAACAUCAGUACCUCCUCGGGAGGUAUUGGUGCUGUAGCGAAGGCGAAGAGUGUGCUACCUGGGAAGUAUAGUCGCAAGGCCGAAACUUAAAGGAAUUGGCGGGGGAGCACA